GACGAACGCUGGCGGCGUGCUUAACACAUGCAAGUCGAACGGAAAGGCCCUGCUUUUGUGGGGUGCUCGAGUGGCGAAAGGGUGAGUAACACGUGAGUAACCUGCCCUUGACUCUGGGAUAACUUCAGGAAACUGAGGCUAAUACCGGAUAGAAGAUCCUGCUGCAUGGUGGGGGUUGGAACGUUUCGGCGGUUGGGGAUGGACGCGCGGGUUAUCAGCUUGUUGGUGGGGGAGUGGCUUACCAAGGCUUUGACGGGUAGCCGGCCUGAGAGGGUGAACGGCGACAUGGGGACUGAGAGACGGACCAGAAGCGUACGGGAGGCAGCAGUGGAGAAUAUGGCAGAGUGGGCGGAAGCGUGAUGCAGCAACGCCGGGUGCGUGAUGACGGCCUGUGGGUGGUAAACCGCUUUGGCCUGUGACGAAGCGUGAGUGACGGUAAUGGGUAAAGAAGCACCGGCUAACUACGUG
Molecule: ribosomal RNA, 468 nt
Filed under: uncultured bacterium
Lineage: Bacteria
Description: partial 16S ribosomal RNA
Rfam family: Bacterial small subunit ribosomal RNA
Source: RNAcentral